This 463-nucleotide ribosomal RNA is filed under the name uncultured bacterium. RNAcentral's name for it is "bacterial SSU rRNA". It matches the Rfam family "Bacterial small subunit ribosomal RNA", at positions 29 to 506 of the family's 1533-position model. The record is from RNAcentral.
AUGAACGCUGGCGGCGUGUCUAAGGCAUGCAAGUCGCGGGACGUGUACUUCGCAAGAAGUAUUACGACCGGCAGACGGGUGAGUAACACAUUGGUAACCUACCUCCAAGACGGGGAUAGCCUGGCGAAAGCUAGAUUAAUACCCGAUAGUAAUGCGGGGACAAAAGUCAUUCGCAUUUAAAGCUUCGGCGCUUGGAGAGGGGCCUAUGGCUUAUCAGCUAGUUGGUAGGGUAACGGCCUACCAAGGCUUCGACGAGUAGCAGGCGUGAGAGCGUGACCUGCCUCACUGGGACUGAGAUACUGCCCAGACACCUACGGGUGGCUGCAGUCGAGAAUAUUCCGCAAUGGGGGAAACCCUGACGGAGCGACGCCGCGUGCAGGAUGAAGGCCUUCGGGUUGUAAACUGCUUUUACGAGGGAAGAAUUCGUGACGGUACCUCGUGAAUAAGAGGUUGCUAACUCUGU